UCCUUCUUAGCUCAGUUGGUAGAGCGCGUCACUAGUAUUUCGUUACCUGCUUUCUACAUAUAUGACGAGGUCAGUCGUUCAAGUCGGCUAGAAGGAA
Non-coding RNA from Crucibulum laeve, 97 nucleotides. The record is from the annotation of a GenBank genome assembly. NCBI's taxonomy places the organism in Eukaryota, Fungi, Basidiomycota, Agaricomycetes, Agaricales, Nidulariaceae.